This 107-nucleotide non-coding RNA is filed under the name Corynebacterium doosanense CAU 212 = DSM 45436. RNAcentral describes it as "Corynebacterium sp. CAU 212 TPP riboswitch aptamer (THI element)". It matches the Rfam family "TPP riboswitch aptamer (THI element)". From Rfam's summary of the family: Vitamin B(1) in its active form thiamin pyrophosphate (TPP) is an essential coenzyme that is synthesised by coupling of pyrimidine and thiazole moieties in bacteria. The record is from Rfam by way of RNAcentral. Lineage: Bacteria; Bacillati; Actinomycetota; Actinomycetes; Mycobacteriales; Corynebacteriaceae. RNAcentral also lists the same sequence under 1 other name.
AUCACUCACACGGGGUGCACCCGGUCGCAUAUGACCGGGGGCUGAGAUCAGACCCGUAGAACCUGCUCUAGUUCGCACUGGCGAAGGGAAUGUGACUGUGGUUUUUU